CGGUAAUUCCAGCUCCAAUAGCGUAUACUAAAGUUGUUGCAGUUAAAAAGCUCGUAGUUGGAUUUCUGCGGGGACGGAGCGGCCGGUCGCAACUUGCGACUCGAGCUAGCGCUUUCCCCGCAUCCUGCCGCGAACCGUGCUACCAUUAGCUUGGUGGCGCUGGGGAUCGGCUCGAUUACUUUGAGAAAAAUAGAGUGUUCAAAGCAGGCCACACGCCUUGAAUAAGUUAGCAUGGAAUAAUGACUAAGGACUUCGGUUCUAUUUUGUUGGUGUUCGGGACUGAAGUAAUGAUUGAUAGGGACAGUUGGGGCGGUCUGUAUUCCAAAGCGAGAGGUGAAAUUCUUAGACCUUCGGAAGACAAACAGCUGCGAAAGCGUUCCGCAAGGAUGUUCCCUUUGAUCAAGAACGAAAGUUGGGGGAUCGAAGACGAUCAGAUACCGUCGUAGUCUCAACUAUAAACUAUACCAGCUAGGGAUCGGUCAACGUUUAAUCAUUCGACUUGAUCGGCACCUUAUGAGAAAUCAAAGCAUCUGGGUUCCGGAGGGAGUAUGGUCGCAAGGCUGGAACUUAAAGGAAUUGACGGAAGGGCACCACCAGCCGUGGAGCCUGUGGCUUAAUUUGACUCAACACGGGAAAACUUACCAGGUCCAGACAUAGUAAGGAUUGACAGAUUGAUAGCUCUUUCUUGAUUCUGUGGGUGGUGGUGCAUGGCCGUUCUUAGUUGGUGGAGUGAUCUGUCUGGUUAAUUCCGUUAACGAACGAGACCCCAGCCUGCUAAAUAGCGCGGCUGAGCUUUGCUCGGUGCGAGCUUCUUAGAGGGACUAUGAUGCGCGAUAGCACAUGGAAGUUUGGGGCAAUAACAGGUCUGUGAUGCCCUUAGAUGUUCUGGGCCGCACACGGGCUACACUGGCGCCUGCAACGAGCAUAUCAGCUGGCCCGAGAGGGUCUUGGCUAAUCUUUUGAACCGGCGCCGUGCUUGGGAUUGACCAUUGCAAUUGUUGGUCAUGCAACGAGGAAUGCCUUGUAAACGCGAGUCAUCAGCUCGCAUUGAAUACGUCCCUGCCCUUUGUACACACCGCCCGUCGCUCCUACCGAUGAAUGUUCCGAUGAAAUUUUCGGAGAGCGCCAGAGAACGGGGCUCCGCCUUGCAGAUCUGGAGGCUCAAAGUCACUUAAAUCUGAACAUUUCGAGGAAGGAGAAGUCGUAACAAGGUAGCCG
This 1218-nucleotide ribosomal RNA is filed under the name uncultured Rhizaria. RNAcentral's name for it is "SSU rRNA". It matches the Rfam family "Eukaryotic small subunit ribosomal RNA", at positions 577 to 1805 of the family's 1831-position model. The record is from RNAcentral.